This 457-nucleotide ribosomal RNA is filed under the name Streptococcus mitis. RNAcentral describes it as "bacterial SSU rRNA". It matches the Rfam family "Bacterial small subunit ribosomal RNA", at positions 28 to 471 of the family's 1533-position model. Lineage: Bacteria; Bacillati; Bacillota; Bacilli; Lactobacillales; Streptococcaceae. The record is from RNAcentral.
GACGAACGCUGGCGGCGUGCCUAAUACAUGCAAGUAGAACGCUGAAGGAGGAGCUUGCUUCUCUGGAUGAGUUGCGAACGGGUGAGUAACGCGUAGGUAACCUGCCUGGUAGCGGGGGAUAACUAUUGGAAACGAUAGCUAAUACCGCAUAAGAGUAGAUGUUGCAUGACAUUUGCUUAAAAGGUGCAAUUGCAUCACUACCAGAUGGACCUGCGUUGUAUUAGCUAGUUGGUGGGGUAACGGCUCGCCAAGGCGACGAUACAUAGCCGACCUGAGAGGGUGAUCGGCCACACUGGGACUGAGACACGGCCCAGACUCCUACGGGAGGCAGCAGUAGGGAAUCUUCGGCAAUGGACGGAAGUCUGACCGAGCAACGCCGCGUGAGUGAAGAAGGUUUUCGGAUCGUAAAGCUCUGUUGUAAGAGAAGAACGAGUGUGAGAGUGGAAAGUUCACACUG